AUAGAGGAAGUUAGGCUGAGGGGCAGAGAGCGAGACUUUUCUAUUUUCCAAAAGCUCGGUCUGAGGCCCCUCAGUCUUGCUUCCUACCCCGCGC
Molecule: microRNA precursor, 94 nt
Filed under: Pongo abelii (Sumatran orangutan)
Lineage: Eukaryota; Metazoa; Chordata; Mammalia; Primates; Hominidae
Description: miRNA
Rfam family: mir-423 microRNA precursor family (bases 5-85)
Source: RNAcentral